This 432-nucleotide ribosomal RNA is filed under the name uncultured bacterium. Its description in RNAcentral is "partial 16S ribosomal RNA". It matches the Rfam family "Bacterial small subunit ribosomal RNA", at positions 29 to 507 of the family's 1533-position model. The record is from RNAcentral.
ACGAACGCUGGCGGCAGGCCUAACACAUGCAAGUCGAGCGAGGACUUCGGUUCUAGCGGCGGACGGGUGAGUCACGCGUGGGAAUGUGCCCUUCUCUACGGAAUAGCCCUGGGAAACUGGGAGUAAUACCGUAUACGCCCUAUUGGGGAAAGAUUUAUCGGAGAAGGAUCAGCCCGCGUUGGAUUAGGUAGUUGGUGGGGUAAUGGCCUACCAAGCCGACGAUCCAUAGCUGGUUUGAGAGGAUGAUCAGCCACACUGGGACUGAGACACGGCCCAGACUCCUACGGGAGGCAGCAGUGGGGAAUCUUAGACAAUGGGGGCAACCCUGAUCUAGCCAUGCCGCGUGAGUGAUGAAGGCCUUAGGGUUGUAAAGCUCUUUCAGCUGGGAAGAUAAUGACGGUACCAGCAGAAGAAGCCCCGGCUAACUCCGUG